RNAcentral lists this ribosomal RNA (446 nucleotides) under uncultured bacterium. RNAcentral's name for it is "bacterial SSU rRNA". It matches the Rfam family "Bacterial small subunit ribosomal RNA", at positions 29 to 518 of the family's 1533-position model. The record is from RNAcentral.
AGCGAACGCUGGCGGCAGGCUUAACACAUGCAAGUCGAGCGGGCGUAGCAAUACGUCAGCGGCAGACGGGUGAGUAACGCGUGGGAACAUACCUUUUGGUUCGGAACAACACAGGGAAACUUGUGCUAAUACCGGAUAAGCCCUUACGGGGAAAGAUUUAUCGCCGAAAGAUUGGCCCGCGUCUGAUUAGCUAGUUGGUGAGGUAACGGCUCACCAAGGCGACGAUCAGUAGCNGGUCUGAGAGGAUGAUCAGCCACAUUGGGACUGAGACACGGCCCAAACUCCUACGGGAGGCAGCAGUGGGGAAUAUUGGACAAUGGGCGCAAGCCUGAUCCAGCCAUGCCGCGUGAGUGAUGAAGGCCCUAGGGUUGUAAAGCUCUUUUGUGCGGGAAGAUAAUGACGGUACCGCAAGAAUAAGCCCCGGCUAACUUCGUGCCAGCCGCCGC